RNAcentral lists this ribosomal RNA (411 nucleotides) under uncultured microorganism. RNAcentral describes it as "bacterial SSU rRNA". It matches the Rfam family "Bacterial small subunit ribosomal RNA", at positions 9 to 416 of the family's 1533-position model. The record is from RNAcentral.
GAGUUUGAUCGUGGCUCAGAUUGAACGCUGGCGGCAUGCCUUACACAUGCAAGUCGAACGGCAGCAUGAUCUAGCUUGCUAGAUUGAUGGCGAGUGGCGAACGGGUGAGUAAUACAUCGGAACGUGCCCUGUAGUGGGGGAUAACUAGUCGAAAGAUUAGCUAAUACCGCACACGACCUGAGGGUGAAAGUGGGGGACCGCAAGGCCUCAUGCUAUAGGAGCGGCCGAUGUCUGAUUAGCUAGUUGGUGGGGUAAAGGCCCACCAAGGCGACGAUCAGUAGCUGGUCUGAGAGGACGAUCAGCCACACUGGGACUGAGACACGGCCCAGACUCCUACGGGAGGCAGCAGUGGGGAAUUUUGGACAAUGGGCGAAAGCCUGAUCCAGCAAUGCCGCGUGUGUGAAGAAGGCC